This 88-nucleotide transfer RNA is filed under the name Clostridia bacterium. RNAcentral's name for it is "tRNA-Glu". The record is from RNAcentral. Lineage: Bacteria; Bacillati; Bacillota; Clostridia.
GCCCUCAUGGUCAAGCGGUUAAGACGCCGCCCUCUCACGGCGGAAUCAGGAGUUCGGACGCCCUUGACUUUUCUUACCUUGACGGGCA